Molecule: ribosomal RNA, 1443 nt
Filed under: Staphylococcus saprophyticus
Lineage: Bacteria; Bacillati; Bacillota; Bacilli; Caryophanales; Staphylococcaceae
Description: bacterial SSU rRNA
Rfam family: Bacterial small subunit ribosomal RNA
Source: RNAcentral
ACUAAUACAUGCAAGUCGAGCGAACAGAUAAGGAGCUUGCUCCUUUGACGUUAGCGGCGGACGGGUGAGUAACACGUGGGUAACCUACCUAUAAGACUGGGAUAACUUCGGGAAACCGGAGCUAAUACCGGAUAACAUUUGGAACCGCAUGGUUCUAAAGUGAAAGAUGGUUUUGCUAUCACUUAUAGAUGGACCCGCGCCGUAUUAGCUAGUUGGUAAGGUAACGGCUUACCAAGGCGACGAUACGUAGCCGACCUGAGAGGGUGAUCGGCCACACUGGAACUGAGACACGGUCCAGACUCCUACGGGAGGCAGCAGUAGGGAAUCUUCCGCAAUGGGCGAAAGCCUGACGGAGCAACGCCGCGUGAGUGAUGAAGGGUUUCGGCUCGUAAAACUCUGUUAUUAGGGAAGAACAAAUGUGUAAGUAACUGUGCACAUCUUGACGGUACCUAAUCAGAAAGCCACGGCUAACUACGUGCCAGCAGCCGCGGUAAUACGUAGGUGGCAAGCGUUAUCCGGAAUUAUUGGGCGUAAAGCGCGCGUAGGCGGUUUCUUAAGUCUGAUGUGAAAGCCCACGGCUCAACCGUGGAGGGUCAUUGGAAACUGGGAAACUUGAGUGCAGAAGAGGAAAGUGGAAUUCCAUGUGUAGCGGUGAAAUGCGCAGAGAUAUGGAGGAACACCAGUGGCGAAGGCGACUUUCUGGUCUGUAACUGACGCUGAUGUGCGAAAGCGUGGGGAUCAAACAGGAUUAGAUACCCUGGUAGUCCACGCCGUAAACGAUGAGUGCUAAGUGUUAGGGGGUUUCCGCCCCUUAGUGCUGCAGCUAACGCAUUAAGCACUCCGCCUGGGGAGUACGACCGCAAGGUUGAAACUCAAAGGAAUUGACGGGGACCCGCACAAGCGGUGGAGCAUGUGGUUUAAUUCGAAGCAACGCGAAGAACCUUACCAAAUCUUGACAUCCUUUGAAAACUCUAGAGAUAGAGCCUUCCCCUUCGGGGGACAAAGUGACAGGUGGUGCAUGGUUGUCGUCAGCUCGUGUCGUGAGAUGUUGGGUUAAGUCCCGCAACGAGCGCAACCCUUAAGCUUAGUUGCCAUCAUUAAGUUGGGCACUCUAGGUUGACUGCCGGUGACAAACCGGAGGAAGGUGGGGAUGACGUCAAAUCAUCAUGCCCCUUAUGAUUUGGGCUACACACGUGCUACAAUGGACAAUACAAAGGGCAGCUAAACCGCGAGGUCAUGCAAAUCCCAUAAAGUUGUUCUCAGUUCGGAUUGUAGUCUGCAACUCGACUACAUGAAGCUGGAAUCGCUAGUAAUCGUAGAUCAGCAUGCUACGGUGAAUACGUUCCCGGGUCUUGUACACACCGCCCGUCACACCACGAGAGUUUGUAACACCCGAAGCCGGUGGAGUAACCAUUUAUGGAGCUAGCCGUUCGUAAGGUUGAC